GCCCGGCUAGCUCAAUCGGUAGAGCGUGAGACUCUUAAUUCAAGGUCCAUCUCAAGGUUGUGGGUUCGACCCCCACGUUGGGCU
This 84-nucleotide transfer RNA is filed under the name Thermothelomyces thermophilus ATCC 42464. RNAcentral describes it as "Myceliophthora thermophila ATCC 42464 tRNA". It matches the Rfam family "tRNA". Rfam says of the family: Transfer RNA (tRNA) molecules are approximately 80 nucleotides in length. Their secondary structure includes four short double-helical elements and three loops (D, anti-codon, and T loops). Further hydrogen bonds mediate the characteristic L-shaped molecular structure. tRNAs have two regions of fundamental functional importance: the anti-codon, which is responsible for specific mRNA codon recognition, and the 3' end, to which the tRNAs corresponding amino acid is attached (by aminoacyl-tRNA synthetases). tRNAs cope with the degeneracy of the genetic code in two manners: having more than one tRNA (with a specific anti-codon) for a particular amino acid; and 'wobble' base-pairing, i.e. permitting non-standard base-pairing at the 3rd anti-codon position. The record is from Rfam by way of RNAcentral. Lineage: Eukaryota; Fungi; Ascomycota; Sordariomycetes; Sordariales; Chaetomiaceae.